CCCUUAGAUGUCCUGGGCCGCACGCGCGCUACACUGAUGCAUUCAACGAGUUCACCUUGGCCGAGAGGCCUGGGCAAUCUUUUGAACGUGCAUCGUGAUAGGGAUAGAUUAUUGAAAUUUUUAAUCUUGAACGAGGAAUUCCUAGUAAACGCAGAUCAUCAAUCUGCAUUGAUUACGUCCCUGCCCUUUGUACACACCGCCCGUCGCACCUACCGAUUGAAUGGUCCGGUGAAGCCUCGGGAUUGUGGCCAGUUCCCUUUGUUGGGAGUUGGUUGCGAGAACUUGUCUAAACCUUAUCAUUUAGAGGAAGGUGAAGUCGUANCA
This 324-nucleotide ribosomal RNA is filed under the name uncultured eukaryote. RNAcentral's name for it is "partial 18S ribosomal RNA". It matches the Rfam family "Eukaryotic small subunit ribosomal RNA", at positions 1470 to 1796 of the family's 1831-position model. The record is from RNAcentral.